AACAGGAUUAGAUACCCUGGUAGUCCAUGCCGUAAACGAUGAGUGCUAAGUGUUAGAGGGUUUCCGCCCUUUAGUGCUGCAGCAAACGCAUUAAGCACUCCGCCUGGGGAGUACGGUCGCAAGACUGAAACUCAAAGGAAUUGGCGGGGGCCCGCACAAGGGUGGAGCAUGUGGUUUAAUUCGAAGCAACGCGAAGAACCUUACCAGGUCUUGACAUCCUCUGACAACCCUAGAGAUAGGGCUUCCCCUUCGGGGGCAGAGUGACAGGUGGUGCAUGGUUGUCGUCAGCUCGUGUCGUGAGAUGUUGGGUUAAGUCCCGCAACGAGCGUAACCCUUGAUCUUAGUUGCCAGCAUUCAGUUGGGCACUCUAAGGUGACUGCCGGUGACAAACCGGAGGAAGGUGGGGAUGACGUCAAAUCAUCAUGCCCCUUAUGACCUGGGCUACACACGUGCUACAAUGGGCAGAACAAAGGGCAGCGAAGCCGCGAGGCUAAGCCAAUCCCACAAAUCUGUUCUCAGUUCGGAUCGCAGUCUGCAACUCGACUGCGUGAAGCUGGAAUCGCUAGUAAUCGCGGAUCAGCAUGCCGCGGUGAAUACGUUCCCGGCCUUGUACACACCGCCCGUCACACCACGAGAGUUUGUAACACCCGAAGUCGGUGAGGUAACCUUUUGGAGCCAGCCGCCGAAGGUGGGACAGAUGAUUGGGGUGAAGUCGUAACAAGGUAACC
RNAcentral lists this ribosomal RNA (728 nucleotides) under uncultured bacterium. RNAcentral's name for it is "bacterial SSU rRNA". It matches the Rfam family "Bacterial small subunit ribosomal RNA", at positions 771 to 1501 of the family's 1533-position model. The record is from RNAcentral.